GAUGAACGCUGGCGGCGUGCCUAAUACAUGCAAGUCGAACGAAUCUCUUUUAGAGAUGAGUGGCGAACGGGUGAGUAAUACAUAGGUAACCUGCCCCUGUGCGGGGGAUAACAGGAGGAAACUCCUGCUAAUACCGCAUAGCCAUGAGCACCGCAUGGAGCUCAUGCCAAAUAUCCUUUAUGGGAUAGCGCAGGGAUGGACCUAUGGCGCAUUAGCUGGUUGGCGGGGCAACGGCCCACCAAGGCAACGAUGCGUAGCCGGCCUGAGAGGGCGGACGGCCACAUUGGGACUGAGACACGGCCCAGACUCCUACGGGAGGCAGCAGUAGGGAAUUUUCGGCAAUGGGGGAAACCCUGACCGAGCAACGCCGCGUGAGCGAAGAAGGCCUUCGGGUCGUAAAGCUCUGUUGUAAAGGAAGAACGGCGCAUACAGGAAAUGGUAUGCGAGUGACGGUACUUUACCAGAAAGCCACGGCUAACUACGUGCCAGCAGCCGCGGUAAUACGUAGGUGGCGAGCGUUAUCCGGAAUCAUUGGGCGUAAAGAGGGAGCAGGCGGCCGCAAGGGUCUGUGGUGAAAGACCGAAGCUAAACUUCGGUAAGCCAUGGAAACCGGGCGGCUAGAGUGCGGAAGAGGAUCGUGGAAUUCCAUGUGUAGCGGUGAAAUGCGUAGAUAUAUGGAGGAACACCAGUGGCGAAGGCGACGGUCUGGGCCGCAACUGACGCUCAUUCCCGAAAGCGUGGGGAGCAAAUAGGAUUAGAUACCCUAGUAGUCCACGCCGUAAACGAUGGUCACUAAGUGUCGGGGGUCAAACCCCGGUGCUGCAGUCAACGCAAUAAGUGACCCGCCUGAGUAGUACGUUCGCAAGAAUGAAACUCAAAGGAAUUGACGGA
RNAcentral lists this ribosomal RNA (891 nucleotides) under uncultured bacterium. RNAcentral describes it as "bacterial SSU rRNA". It matches the Rfam family "Bacterial small subunit ribosomal RNA", at positions 28 to 917 of the family's 1533-position model. The record is from RNAcentral.